CGGACAGUGCACGGGUAUUUU
RNAcentral lists this microRNA (21 nucleotides) under Echinococcus granulosus. Its description in RNAcentral is "egr-miR-10275-5p". The record is from miRBase by way of RNAcentral. Lineage: Eukaryota; Metazoa; Platyhelminthes; Cestoda; Cyclophyllidea; Taeniidae.